Molecule: ribosomal RNA, 491 nt
Filed under: uncultured bacterium
Lineage: Bacteria
Description: partial 16S ribosomal RNA
Rfam family: Bacterial small subunit ribosomal RNA
Source: RNAcentral
GAUGAAUGCUAGCUACAGGCUUAACACAUGCAAGUCGAGGGGAAACGCCAUUGAAGCUUGCUUCGAUGGUCGUCGACCGGCGCACGGGUGAGUAACGCGUAUCCAACCUGCCUCUGACCAAGGGAUAACCCGUCGAAAGUCAGCCUAAUACCUUAUGCAGUCGUCGGAAUUCAUCUGAUGACGACGAAAGAUUUCAUCGGUGAGAGAUGGGGGUGCGUCUGAUUAGCUUGUUGGCGGGGUAACGGCCCACCAAGGCAGCGAUCAGUAGGGGUUCUGAGAGGAAGGUGCCCCACAUUGGAACUGGGACACAGUGCAAACGACUACGGGAGGCAGCAGUGAGGAAUAGUGGUCAAUGGGCGAGAGCCUGAACCAGCCAAGUAGCGUGCAGGAUGACGGCCCUGUGGGUUGUAAGCUGCUUUUAUGCGGGGAUAAAGUGAGGGACGUGUCCUUCAUUGCAGGUACCGGAUGAAUAAGGACCGGCUAAUUCCGUG